GAUGAAUAACGUAGCGAAAUGCGAUACGUAAUGUGAAUUGCAGAAUUCAGUGAAUCAUCGAAUCUUUGAACGCAUAUUGCGCUCUCUGGUAUUCCGGAGAGCAUGCUUGUUUGAGUAUCAGUAAACACCUCAACUCCCUUUUCUUUUUUGAAAUGGGAGCUGGACUUGAGUGAUCCCAACACUUUUCUCACUGGAAAGUGGCGGGUCACUUGAAAUGCAGGUGCAGCUGGACUUUUCUCUGAGCUAUAAGCAUAUCUAUUUAGUCUGCCUAAAAAACAGAUUAUUACCUUUGCUGCAGCUAACAUAAAGGAGAUGAGUUCUUGUGCUGACUGAUGCAGGAUUCACAGAGACAGCUUUGCGGCUGACUUUGUAAACUCGAUCUCAAAUCAAGUAAGACUACCCGCUGAACUUAAGCAUAUCAAUAAGCGGAGGA
This 433-nucleotide unclassified non-coding RNA is filed under the name soil metagenome. RNAcentral's name for it is "partial contains 5.8S ribosomal RNA, internal transcribed spacer 2, and large subunit ribosomal RNA". The stretch from base 1 to 120 matches the Rfam family "5.8S ribosomal RNA", at positions 35 to 154 of the family's 154-position model. The record is from RNAcentral.